GUGUAAGUCCUGGCACACCUAGAUGCUGGAAGUAUAAAACACUCUGGGAGAUGAGAACGAGCUGAAAGCUCAGACAGCAAACCUCAGCCCAAAUGUUCUUCAGCUCUGACGCUUUGUAACUCUCCUCACCAAAUAUCAGCCAGCAGCUCCCUUCAGAACUGUAAGGCUUGGAACACUUACUAAGGAGCUGCAACACUUCACUUCAAAGGCCAAAUAUCCAGUUAGCUGUGAGUCACAUCCCAUGUAUUGAUCUCAUGCCAUCUGGAAGCACAAGCUCAAACAACCAUCACCAUCACCCGCUGUGGAACUUCAAUAAAGUCAAACUGUCAAGAAGCAGGAGUGCUGUGCUACUGAGAAGUGGAGAUUUACUGUUUUCCCAGAGUAUUCACAGGGAUGAUUUUCAGGAAGAUGCAGUGUCUGCAAGAAUAUCGAAGAUCCUUCAGCUGUUUCUUCUGUGGCAUGAGUGAUCAGUUUUCAGGAUCUUUGCUUUAACUGUACCUGAAGGCAUCACAGCUAUAAACCUCUGCCUCGUCAUCUCUGCCCAAGACAGGCCUACAUUGCUCAUUAUAAAUUCUGCCAACAUUGUUAGAGAACAUAAUGGGGAAACAACCCUUUGAACCUGCUUCUGAGGCAAAAAAGUAACAUCUGCUCAUUUCUAGUGUCUUCUGGUAUCCUUUCAAUGAACCAAUUCAUUAUUAAUGAUAUUAUAUUUAUAGCCAAUUCAAUGGAAAUCAAUUCAUUAGGCUGAGAAGUUCUUCUGCAUGGCCAUCCUCGAAGCCUUAUCCUACUCAUUAAUUAAAGUCAGGUUUUGACACUAAUUACACUAGGAUCAUGCCCUAAAGAGAUUUAUGUAUAAGUCUUAGUCAUUACAGACUAUAGAUUAAACACAGAUUAAAAGAAGAAUGAAAAACCUCCAGAACUACCAAAGUUCUAUUUAAAUUCAAGUUUCAUCUGUACCAACUCCAGGAAACUUUUUGUCUGUUCCCUGUACACCAAUAGCUGCAGAAGUGGUUAAAAUGCCUUUUAGCCUGAAGAACCCCAUAAAGCUUUAAAAUCAGAAUCACUUGAACACGUCCUGAAGUGCAGCCUUCUUUGUGUUGAGAGGGAGCAGCUGCUCAGCUGUGCACUUCAACAGCAGCACACAGCAAUAUCAAUUCUGACUGACUGUAGCCACAAGGACAAAUUUAGGCAAAAUAAUGUGGCUGCCCAGAGUUCUGUUCCCCAUCGAAACUCUCACAAAGGCCUGCCAACAAAAAACUGAUCCCUAAUUUUCUUCUUUUUUCCUAUCCUUUCCUCCAAAGUAGAAGUGGGCUGCAACUGCAGUGUGUUGCAGCAUCAAUCCCCUC
This 1346-nucleotide long non-coding RNA is filed under the name Junco hyemalis (dark-eyed junco). RNAcentral describes it as "lncRNA (ENSJHYG00000006752.1)". The record is from RNAcentral. Lineage: Eukaryota; Metazoa; Chordata; Aves; Passeriformes; Passerellidae.